AUGGCUGUCGUCAGCUCGUGUCGUGAGAUGUUGGGUUAAGUCCCGCAACGAGCGCAACCCUUAUUUCAUGUUGCCAGCGCGUAAUGGCGGGGACUCGUGAGAGACUGCCGGUGACAAACCGGAGGAAGGUGGGGAUGACGUCAAGUCAUCAUGCCCCUUAUGUCCAGGGCUACACACGUGCUACAUUGGCGCGUACAGAGGGUUGCGAUACCGCGAGGUGGAGCGAAUCCCUUAAAGCGCGUCUCGGUUCGGAUUGCAGGCUGAAACUCGCCUGCAUGAAGGCGGAGUUGCUAGUAAUCGCGGAUCAGCACUGCCGCGGUGAAUACGUUCCCGGGCCUUGUACACACCGCCCGUCACACCAUGGGAGUGAGCAACACCCGAAGCCGGUUGCCUAACCCGCAAGGGAGGGUGCCGUCGAAGGUGGGGCUCGCGACUGGGGUGAAGUCGUAACAAGGUAGCCGUAGCGGAAGCUGCGGCUGGAUCACCUCCUUUCUAGGGAGCCCUCAUCAAGGGCACCGAUCGCCAGUGAGGAUCGCCGUUUGAGCUCUCGAGCUCCGCGGCGCUCUCCUCGAGCGCGAUCGGCCACUAGACAUGUCGACCGAACCUGCCGUAAAUCGCCCUGAGGGCGAUUUACGGUCGAGAGAAAUCUGCCCUUGCAGCGGUGGAAACGCCGGUGCGUUCGGGUGCAGAUUUCUCUCAAUCUAAUCCGCGCUAGCGGAUUAGACCGCGUGCUGUUGAGUUUUGAGAGACCGGCCCGUUGCCGGCCUGCCCGCUGGACGAGGUCCCGGGCUUGUCUGCGGCGGGUUAUGCCUCUUCGCGGUCCUUGAAAACUGCACAGUAGCCAAUGAAACGGGUAAUACGUAAUGGCCCCCGUGGCCAUCACGUAUCUGAAGAAAUCUUCGAUUUCUUCGACGAAAUCUCCGUAAGAGAUUCCGCUCGAUCAACCGUCAAGAUAGUAAGGGCACAUGGUGGAUGCCUUGGCACCAAGAGUCGAUGAAGGGCGUGAACGGCUGCGAUAAGCCGCGGUUAGGCGCUGAAUAGCCAGUGACCCGCGGAUGCCCGAAUGGGGAAACCCGG
This 1077-nucleotide small RNA is filed under the name uncultured Solirubrobacterales bacterium. Its description in RNAcentral is "bacterial SSU rRNA". The stretch from base 1 to 492 matches the Rfam family "Bacterial small subunit ribosomal RNA", at positions 1045 to 1533 of the family's 1533-position model. Lineage: Bacteria; Bacillati; Actinomycetota; Thermoleophilia; Solirubrobacterales. The record is from RNAcentral.